Molecule: ribosomal RNA, 427 nt
Filed under: uncultured bacterium
Lineage: Bacteria
Description: bacterial SSU rRNA
Rfam family: Bacterial small subunit ribosomal RNA
Source: RNAcentral
UCGAGAAUUUUUCUCAAUGGGCGCAAGCCUGAAGGAGCGACGCCGCGUGGGGGAUGAAGGGUUUCGAUCCGUAAACCCCUGUCAUUUGCGAACAAACCCUGAGGUUUAAGAGAUAUCAGGCUGAUUGUAGCGAAAGAGGAAGGGACGGCUAACUCUGUGCCAGCAGCCGCGGUAAUACAGAGGUCCCAAGCGUUGUUCGGAUUCACUGGGCGUAAAGGGUGCGUAGGUGGCUUGGUAAGUUCGAUGUGAAAUCUCCGGGCUUAACCCGGAAAUGGCAUUGAAUACUAUUGAGCUGGAGGUUUGGAGGGGGGACUGGAAUUCUCGGUGUAGCAGUGAAAUGCGUAGAUAUCGAGAGGAACACCAGUGGCGAAGGCGAGUCCCUGGACAACACCUGACACUGAGGCACGAAAGCUAGGGGAGCAAACAG